CCGUGUUGCGCUUGCGCCCCGACCUGAACGAGCCACAGCAGCGCGAUGCGCAAACAUCCGAGGAACGAGGAGCGCACCGGACCAAAGGCGCAGCGGAGCAUGUUUGUUGGCUGCGGCUCCGGCCUCAACACACGCAGCAGAGGGAAGCGUGCGCCGCGCUCUCCGGAGACUGGCACAGGAUGACAAAGAGAGGAGGAAGGAGAAGAGGGAGGAGGGAGUAAACCGGGUCCUCCUCCUCCUCCUCUUCUUCUUCUUCUUCUUUUUCUUGUGUCUGAACAUCACGUGGAUUAAUCGAUUAAUCAUUUGAAUUCUUGCAGCGUUUUCAAUAUAAACUACAGUAUUUUUCUGUUUGGGAAAAUGAUGCAUAUGAGGGAAUUUUAAUUAUUAAUGUUAAAAAAAAGGUUUUUGAACAACUUAUUUCCUGUGUUGCUGCAGAAAUCAUGUGCACAUCAAACCGAGCGAAGCUAAAACAGUUUCUGGCUUUUUGAAGCGUUAAUGCAAACAGCAGCUCGUCCCCAAAUCCACCAUAACACAGUCAGUUCUCUCAUCAUUUCUCCCCAGAGUGGAAACCACUUCCUGAAACCUUUUCCUUGCUUUUGUGUUUUGUUUUUUUUUUAUUUUAUUUCAUUUCCACUGGAUUUCAUUCCAGCUGAAAAUAAACCUCCAUCCUGAACAAUCCGCCUGUAAAUCUCUUGAAUUUAUCUCCUCUCUGUGUCUUUUGCAUCAUUUCUCCGCAGAGCGGAAACUUCUCUUAUUGUUUUAUCCUUCUCUCCAUCUCUAAAAGCCCCGUGAGCUUCCCCCCCUCCGUUCAUUAUCUCUUCAUGUGACUGAAGACAGUUUGUGACUGAGCUGAUUUGGCUGCAGGAGGAAGCUGGAGGCCGCGGAGCUGAAACGGAGAAGGUCGACCCCCCCAGUGUAGAGUAAACAUCAGGUGCUGGGAGCAUACCUUUCCACUAAAUGAAGCCCCCGAGUGGAGCGGCAGGUGUUCUGUACCCGGUGCCUUCUCAUUGAGGAGAACCUCAGACCUCCAACGAGACGACUCCUCGGCCUGAAUUAUUUUCCCUGACAGCGUUUUCCAGACUGUCUCUUUGAGCUCAUCGCCUGUGACAGCUCUAAUUCUCGGCUAUUUGGGAUUUUCUGCUUCAUUUCUGCAGAAGGAGGUUGAGGUGGAGUAAAACCAGUCGCCCCGUAGUGAACUAGUUCUUUGAUAUGAAGGAACUCACCUAUUUUUAAUAAACUUAAUUCAGAAAUUUAUUUGCAAACAAGAACCAAACUACAGAGAUCAGAUUAAAACUUUUCUUUUUGAUAAAGUUUGGAUGAACUUUUAUCCUGUUAAACUGAAGUUAAAGUUUUUCUCUCUGAGUUUCAGACUCUGGUUUCUGUAAAAACAAAACAACAACAACAACAACAAAAAAAAACAUCUAAAGACAAUUUAUUUAGUUACUGACUCGACAUAAAUAAAAUUUAAAUUAAAAUAAUCGAAAAAACUGAACAUAAACCAAACAGAUCCGAGACAUUUUUAAUCUAUAGGUUUGUCCAAAGUCUGUGUAAAUGGAUUUAAUUUAAUUAAUAACAAUGACAACAAGAAUAACAACAACAACAAUAACAAAAACAACAACAACAGCAAUAACAACAACAAUAAUAAACUGGAUUAAUGUGUAAUUUUUACCGAAAGAUUUUAAACAGGUUAAACAAACAUUUCAUUUUGGGGGAAAAUGGAAAUAAAACCAAGAAUCUGUUUAGUUUAUUUGUUUAUUGUUGUAUUAAAUCUCAUGUGUCAUGUUCUGUCUGAUCAAAUCUGACUUGAAUGUUUGACCAGAUUCUGUUGUUUAUUCUUAUUUUAACCGUUUUAGACAAAUAAUCACGAUUUAAUCUCUUUGCACCUUUAAUUUAUUCAGUAAUAAAUUUUGAUGUUGGUC
This is a long non-coding RNA of Mugil cephalus (flathead mullet), 1919 nucleotides long. RefSeq lists it as uncharacterized. The record is from RefSeq and is a predicted model, not a curated record. The transcript is spliced from 2 exons. Lineage: Eukaryota; Metazoa; Chordata; Actinopteri; Mugiliformes; Mugilidae.